GGAGGGGGCUAGCGUUGUUCGGAAUUACUGGGUGUAAAGGGAGCGCAGGCGGUGCGGCAAGUCUGAUGUGAAAGCCCGGGGCUCAACCCCGGUACUGCAUUGGAAACUGUCGUACUAGAGUGUCGGAGGGGUAAGUGGAAUUCCUAGUGUAGCGGUGAAAUGCGUAGAUAUUAGGAGGAACACCAGUGGCGAAGGCGGCUUACUGGACGAUNACUGACGCUGAGGCUCGAAAGCGUGGGGAGCAAACAGGAUUAGAUACCCUGGUAGUCCACGCCGUANACGAUGAGNNCUAGGUGUUGGGGGNAUAACUCNGUGCCGCAGUUAACGCNAUANGUUCUCCGCCUGGGGAGU
Molecule: ribosomal RNA, 351 nt
Filed under: uncultured bacterium
Lineage: Bacteria
Description: partial 16S ribosomal RNA
Rfam family: Bacterial small subunit ribosomal RNA
Source: RNAcentral